RNAcentral lists this ribosomal RNA (469 nucleotides) under Sogata sp. nov. XHH-2010. RNAcentral describes it as "partial 16S ribosomal RNA". The stretch from base 343 to 469 matches the Rfam family "Bacterial large subunit ribosomal RNA", at positions 2473 to 2600 of the family's 2925-position model. The record is from RNAcentral. Lineage: Eukaryota; Metazoa; Arthropoda; Insecta; Hemiptera; Delphacidae.
AUUAAAUAGCUGCAGUAUUUUAACUGUACUAAGGUAGCAUAAUAAUUAGUCUUUUAAUUGAGGUCUGGAAUGAAUGGUUUGACAAGAAAAUAACUUUAUUAAUUAAUCUUUUUUCAAUUUUAUUUUUUAGUUAAAAAGCUAAAAUUUUUAAAUGGGACGAUAAGACCCUAUAGAUCUUAAAAUUUUUUAUAUUUAAAUUAAUUUUAUGGAUUAAUUUAGAUUUUGUUUGGGAAAAUUUUUUGUUGGGGUGAUGUAUAAACUUUUAAAACUUUAAAAUUUUCUUACAUUUAUAGAUGUAUAAAUGAUCCAAAUUUUUUGAUUAUUAAAAUAAGAUACCUUAGGGAUAACAGCGUAAUAAAUUUGUAUAGUACACAUAAAUAAAUUUGUUUACGACCUCGAUGUUGAAUUAAUAUUAAUUUUUGGAGCAGAAGCUAGAAUUUUGGGUCUGUUCGACCUUUUAAAUAUUACA